This 78-nucleotide transfer RNA is filed under the name Bacillus thuringiensis. RNAcentral's name for it is "tRNA-Arg". It matches the Rfam family "tRNA". From Rfam's summary of the family: Transfer RNA (tRNA) molecules are approximately 80 nucleotides in length. Lineage: Bacteria; Bacillati; Bacillota; Bacilli; Caryophanales; Bacillaceae. The record is from RNAcentral.
CGUCCCAUAGCUUAAUUUGGUAAAGCGCCCGACUCCUAGUUGGGAAGUCACUGGUUCGAAACCAGUUGGAGACGUCAA